GACGAACGCUGGCGGCGUGCUUAACCCAUGCAAGUCGAACGGUGAAGCGCCUUCCUUUUUGGUGGGUGUGGAUGAGUGGCGAACGGGUGAGUAACACGUGAGUAACCUGCCCCCUUCUUCUGGAUAACCGCAUGAAAGUGUGGCUAAUACGGGAUAUUCUGGGUCUGUCGCAUGAUGGGUCUGGGAAAGAUAUUGUUUCGGUGGGGGAUGGGCUCGCGGCCUAUCAGCUUGUUGGUGGGGUGAUGGCCUACCAAGGCGGUGACGGGUAGCCGGCCUGAGAGGGUGGACGGUCACACUGGGACUGAGACACGGCCCAGACUCCUACGGGAGGCAGCAGUGGGGAAUAUUGCACAAUGGGCGCAAGCCUGAUGCAGCGACGCCGCGUGAGGGAUGGAGGCCUUCGGGUUGUGAACCUCUUUCGCCAGUGAAGCAGGCCUGCCUCGUUUGUGGGUGGGUUGACGGUAGCUGGAUAAGAAGCGCCGGCUAACUACGUG
This 494-nucleotide ribosomal RNA is filed under the name uncultured bacterium. Its description in RNAcentral is "partial 16S ribosomal RNA". It matches the Rfam family "Bacterial small subunit ribosomal RNA", at positions 28 to 507 of the family's 1533-position model. The record is from RNAcentral.